Molecule: transfer RNA, 65 nt
Filed under: Dipodomys ordii (Ord's kangaroo rat)
Lineage: Eukaryota; Metazoa; Chordata; Mammalia; Rodentia; Heteromyidae
Rfam family: tRNA
About the family: Transfer RNA (tRNA) molecules are approximately 80 nucleotides in length. Their secondary structure includes four short double-helical elements and three loops (D, anti-codon, and T loops).
Source: Rfam by way of RNAcentral
GGUGGCUCUGUGGUAGAGCACUUGCCUUGCAUGCAUGAGGCCCUGGGUUCGAUUCCCCAGCACCA